Molecule: ribosomal RNA, 923 nt
Filed under: uncultured archaeon
Lineage: Archaea
Description: bacterial SSU rRNA
Rfam family: Archaeal small subunit ribosomal RNA
Source: RNAcentral
ACUGCUAUCGGGAUGGGACUAAGACAUGUUAGUCGUGCGCCUCCUAGCCACGAUGGAGGCGCGGCGCACAGCUCAUUAUCACGUGGCUAACCUACCCUCAGGACGGGAGCACCCCCGGGAAACUGGGGCUAAUUUCCGAUAAGUGAAGACUCCUGGAAUGGAUUUUCGCUGAAAAGACACCUGGGUCAUGCUUUAGGUGUUGCCUGAGGAUGGGGCCGCGGCCGAUCAGGUUGUUGGUGAGGUAACGGCUCACCAAGCCUUUUACCGGUGCGGGCCGUGGGAGCGGGAGCCCGGAGAUGGGCACUGAGACAAGGGCCCAGGCCCUACGGGGCGCAGCAGUCGCGAAAAUUUCGCAAUAAGCGAAAGCUUGACGGAGCUAUCCCGAGUGCCAUCCGCUGAGGAUGGCUUUUCUCUAGUGUAGAUAGCUGGGGGAAUAAGGAGAGGGCAAGUCUGGUGUCAGCCGCCGCGGUAAUACCAGCUCUCCGAGUGGUGUGGAUGAUUAUUGGGCCUGAAGCAUCCGUAGCCGGCUGAGCAAGUCCCCUGUUAAACCCAGCGAUUCAAUCGCUGGUCUGCGGGGGAUACUGCUCGGCUAGGGGGCGAGAGAGGCCGUCGGUAUUCCCGGGGUAGGGGUGAAAUCCUAUAAUCCCGGGAGGACCACCAGUGGCGAAGGCUGUCGGCUAGAACGCGCUCGACGGUGAGGGAUGAAAGCUGGGGGAGCGAACCGGAUUAGAUACCCGGGUAGUCCCAGCUGUAAACGAUGCAGCAGGGUUGUUUAAGGGCGGCCACGUGCCGCCCUAGUGCCGCAGGGAAGCUGUUAAGCCUGCCGCCUGGGGAGUACGGCCGCAAGGCUGAAACUUAAAGGAAUUGGCGGGGGAGCACCACAAGGGUGAAGCUUGCGGUUUAAUUGGAUUCAACGCCGGAAU